UUUGCUAUUACUGUGGACGCGAGGAAAGAACUACUAAAAGAUCAACAUCUCAACGAUGAUAAAACUUCUAUUGAGGAAAAUGGGCCAAAAUCUAUUUUAAACCGUCUCAACGAUGAGAAGUUCGAUCCCAAACGUCCCGAGUUGUUUGGUUAUCAUUACGACGACGAUGAUAAAAAAGACAAGGCAUCAUCAUUUGAGAAGUUCGAUUCCAAACGUCCUGAGUUUUUUGGUUAUCAUUACGACGACAAUGAUAAAAAAGACAAGUCAACGUCAUUUGAGAAGUUCGAUCCCAAACGUCCUGAGUUCCUUCACUAUGGUUACAACGAUGAUGAUAAAAAAGACAAGUCAACGUCAUUUGAGAAGUUCGAUCCCAAACGUCCUGAGUUCCUUCACUAUGGUUACAACGAUGAUGAUAAAAAAGACAAGUCAACGUCAUUUGAGAAGUUCGAUCCUAAACGUCCUGAGUUCUUUCACUAUGGUUACAAUGAUGAUGAUAAAAAAGACAAGUCAACGUCAUUUGAGAAGUUCGAUCCUAAACGUCCUGAGUUCUUUCACUAUGGUUACAAUGAUGAUGAUAAAAAAGACAAGUCAACGUCAUUUGAGAAGUUCGAUCCUAAACGUCCUGAGUUCCUUCACUAUGGUUACAACGAUGAUGAUAAACAAGACAAGUCAACAUCAUUUGAGAAGUUCGAUCCUAAACGUCCUGAGUUCCUUCACUAUAGUUACAACGACGAUGAUAAAAAAGAUAAGUCAACGUCAUUUGAGAAGUUCGAUCCUAAACGUCCUGAGUUCCUUCACUAUGGUUACAACGAUGAUGAUAACACUGACAAAUUAUCAUCUGUUCAAAAUUUUGAGCGUUGGGUUCCUCUUCCAUCAUUUCAUUAUACUUACAGCGACGAUGAUAACACAGAGAAAUCAUCGUCAUUUGAGAAAUUUGAUCCCAAACAUAAGAACUUGCUUCACUAUCACUACAACGACAACAAAGAAAAAUCAUCACCGCUCGAGCAUAAUAAGCCGUCGUCUCUUAUUGAAGAGAUCCCAGGCGGCAACAAUGAUCAUAAGGAGACCAUGUAAAUUAGGCAUCCAGAGGAGCAUAUGGGUUUUAAUGAAAUUGUAUAAUGUUUUAUGUAUUUAAACGUUAUGUCCUCUAUGUAUGGGAGUGCUUACUUAUUAAAGAAAAAUAAAAAUGGCGUCGCCAUAUAUGAUAAUUGAAUAAAAGUAACACUUCAUUUCCUUCCUCUUUUCUCAAGCAAUUUAGUUUUCUUUAUCUAUUGUCUUUGUUCGUAGCUAAACACACAAGGUUGCCAAUUUAGUCGGAUUAUGAUAAAAUAUAUGUAUUAUUAUAUAUAUUUAACUUUAAAAAUAAUAAUUAACGAUAUGUGUAAAGGAGAACAUCAAAAUCCUAGCAACUUUCUCUCUCUUUUUUUUUUCCAUUGCAAUCGUUUUCUUCUUUCUCCAUCAAAAGCCAAGAAUCAAGCAUGUAGGUUUAUAUAUAUAUAUAUAUAAACCUGUAACUUACAUUAUUUUAAUGACAUUGUAGAUUUAUACAUUGAAUAGUAUUACUGAUUUAUUUAGUAGAAUCAAUAGUGUAAUUUUCCUUUGAAUUCUAGAAUAUAAAUAUAUUUUUCUUUUUCCUAGUAAGUGCAUUCUUGUGCUUAUAAUUUUUUUUAGCAUUAAAUAUUUUGUUUUUUAAAAGCCUAUAAAUCCUGAUCUCAAAACAGGUAAUUUUUCGUGUUAAUAUCAUAUUUUUUAAUGAAAAAUCCUUACCAUUUAUCAAAUCUCAUGUAAUUAUUGCCUUUUGGUUUGUGGUUGUGGUUUAUAUGUAAUUUCUUAAGUACUUUGGAUAUGUUCGGACAAAAUUUGUUGUUUUGAUAGCUAUUUAUUAUUUGAAUAAUAUUUAAUGGUCAGUUGUUUUAGUAGUUUUUCAUAAAAUGAUAAAAGUUAAACGUUACAUGAGUUAACUUUUUAAAUAUUAAAUUAUAUAACGAGAUUGAAUUAUUUGAAAGUACAUGAAAUAUACAUAAUAUAAAUGGUUCAAGUAAAACUUUAAUUACAAGUAAAUUAGAAUCUCAAAAUUUAUAAAUUAAAUAAUAAAAAUAAUUAUUUUAUAUAGAUAUAUAUUUCUUUUAAUUAAGAAACUUGAAAAAAUAUAUUAAGUACAAAUUAUAAAUUCAAAUUUAUAAAUUAGAGGUUAUAAAUUCAUGAUAUAUGAACCUUUAUAUUACAUAGUUGUAAACCAAACAAAUUUUAUUCAAAAGCUAUAUAAGUAUAGAAUAUGUUUAUUUUUGAACAAAGUAAAACAGAAUUUAUAAUGAAAAUAAGAUUGAUCAAAUUUAAAUUUAAAGAUUAAUUAGUUUUAAAAUAAUUAUUUUAUAUAUAUGGACCAGUGUAAUUUAAUAUUUUAAAAAUUAAAUAAAUAUUUUUAUGACCAAAUAUAUAAUGUGGAUUAUUUAAAAAAAUAAAUGAAUUUAAAAUAAUUAAGACUAGCUAAACUACAAAUUAGAAGUCACAAGAUACGAUAUAUAUAAUUUAAUAUAUAUAAUUCGAUAUUAUAAAAGGGGAGAAAUUUAUAAGUCUAGCAUUUAUAUAUAUAUAAUAUAAUUUCAAUUGCAUAGGUACAUAAUAAAUUUUUUAACACUAAGAUAAUAAAAUUUUAUAGUUAUUUAUUCAAAGUUUAAAUAAUUUAUUUUGAUUAAAUAUAUUUGAAAUAUUGGAUAAUUAUUUAUCUGUGAAUUUUUUUUAUGUUUGUGUUGAAAAUAGUUUUUUUUUUUAAUUUACACAAUUAAAUAGUUUUUUAUUUUUAAUAAUAUUAAAUAAAUAUUAAAUAAAAAAUAAAUAUUAAAUAAAUAUUAAAUUUUUAAUAAUAAAUAAUAGUUUUUUUGAUAACCAAUUCUAUAGAUAACAAAUCAUUUGCUAAAAGCUCCGCCGAUCAGACCAUCUCACAUCACCGACAACGCCUCUACAGGGGCUUCAUCCACACUAUCAUCAUCACUUAUAGUUAUCAUCCUUUGAAUCAAUAAUGUAAUUUUCCUUUGAGUUCUAGAAUAUAAAUAUAUUUUUCUUUUUCCCAGUAAGUGCAUUCUUGUGCUUAUAAUUUUUUUUAGCAUUAAAUAUUUAGUUUUUUAAAAGCCUAUAAAUCCUGAUAUCGAAAAAGGUAAUUUUUCGUGUUAAUAUCAUAUUUUUUUAAUGAAAAAUCCUUACCAUCGAUCAAAUCUCAUGUAAUUGUUGUCUUUUGGUUUGUGGUUGUGGUUUAUAUGUAAUUUUUUAAGUACUUUGGAUGUGUUCGUCAAGAUUAGUUGUUUUAGCAGCUGUUAACUGUUUGAAUGACAUUUAAUGUUUAGUUGUUUUAGUAGCUUUUCAUAAAAUAGUAAAAGUUAAACUUUAUAUGAGUUAACUUUUUAUAAAUUGCUGGCUUAAUCUCUAUAAGUUAGUUCAAAAGUUAUAUUACCGAACACUAUAAAAAAAUACGUUUAACAUUUUGACCAAUCAAAAUAUUAAAAGCUACUUAAAAAACUAUUACCGAACACGACCUUUGACUUGUAGUUUUUUUGCAAGUGGUUGCUAAGCCUCAACUUGUUGUUACUGAAUUAAGAAUUUAUGUCAAGAGUUUAUUAGAAAUAUGUAGGACUUAUGAAUAUAAUAUUCCUUUAAAUUUUCACUAUUUUGACUUUUUUUAACCUGUUUCAAAGUUACUAGUUAAAUGAUGAUUGUUUAAAUAAAAUUUUAUUUAAAUAUUAUGAUUAAUAAAAUAAUUAACUGUGCCAAUCAGAUAUAAUUUUAUUAAUUUUUUUCAUUUAUAUGAAGAGUGAGAGAUCUAGAGUUCGAGUCCUCUUGAUCACAAAGUUUUCACCAAUUUAGUGAAUUAAAGAGAACUUUAUUCAUAUUGUGUAGCGCAUGGUAUUAUUUAAGCCAUUUUGGCCUUCUACUGGAUAAAAAAAAUUCACUGUAAGCAGCAAAAACUGUAAAUAAUUGCUUAUACCCAUUUCGACUACUCAUCCAACUACCCAUUUACCAACUAUCAGAAUCACAUGGUUGGUAGCCUAUUAUUGAUAACCAAAUAACUAUAUAUCCAUCUGCCACUGUCAAUCAUCACAAAUAACUAAACCAGAAUGAUUUUUAAAUGAUUAUCCAUGGUGUGUCUCCCUAAAGACAAGAAAAGGAAAAGGAAAACAUUGGACCACACCUAUGUAAGGAUGAAGGAAGGGUGUGAGGAGUGUCUCAAGUUCCUUUAACCAUAAUUUUCUUUUAUAUUUAUCUUCUAAAAUAUUGAAGAUUUUUAAUUUUGCUCCUUAAAUUUCAAGUUUUUUGCCGUACCGGCCCCAUUAUUACACGUGUAAAAUCUAAUUAUACUUUAUAUUUAGAUAAACUAUAGUUUUGGCCUUAAACUUUUCGAGUUGUUCCAAUUUCACUCUAAAUUAACUUUUAUUUUGCUGAAUUUUGCAUAUGUUAUUUAAUUGUAUCCAUAGUUUUAAAAUUGGACUUAAUUGAAAGAGACUAAAGAAAAAAUAUGAGAUCCACAUAUUUUCUGUGGGUUAAGGUAAUCCAAUAUUGUUUAACUAGCGAAAAAUGCAUUACUCUGUAUAAGGAUAAGACUUGCUCACACUCAAUAUGUAUGGGUGGUUCUAUAGACGAAACCAAUAAAAAAGAUUGUUUUUAAAAACUCUUACGCUCUAUCCUUUUUGUUUGUAUGAUAAAAAAUGCUUUCAUUUGAAACAAAUCACUUUUUGUGAUUAGUUUGUAAAUGAGUGAGUUCAUUCACUGACAUUGAGUGCAGGUAAGUCUUUCCUUUGUAUAAAGGGAAGAAAAAAAAGACAAAACAAACUUCAAAAUCAUUUAGAUUAUGUGGUAUGCUUCUAUAUUAAAGUGAAUUAUUAUUCAAAUAUGUGAAAAGUGAGAAGUCUGGAGUUCUAAUCCACUCGAUCAUAAAAACUUUCACUAACUUGGAGAAUUAAGGAAAGAAUUACUCUUAUUGUGUAGCCUAUUAAAUUAUUUUUGGCUCGUCUAAUUACUUCAUUAUGGUUACAAUUUGAAAACUUCGGAGGCAAGACCAAAUCCAUCUAAGUGGCCCUAAUUUCUUUCUUUCCUAUUCAAUUAUAAGAAUGUCUUUCAACUUUUAUAUUCACCCUACAAUAUCUUCUUCCCGCACGAGGAUAAAGAACAAAAGGAUAGUGUGAAAUACGUUGAAUUUUUAGAAUCUAAUGGGGUCUUCCCUAAAAAAAUGAUUUUAGAUUCCAUGGCACGCUGAGUGAAUUAUUAUUGGAAACACGAAGUUGUCAAGAUUCCGUGGCUUUGUUUUGCUGUUUUUGUUUUUUCUAAAUAAAUUAGAAUAUUAAUUUAUUUUUACAUGAAAUAAUAAAAACAAAAUGAUUGAAUAUAAAUUAACAAAUAGAGUAAAAGCCUUAACACCUAUAAAAUAAUAAUUGAGGAAAAUUAAUAAAAUUUAGUAAAAAACCGAUCAUAAUUGAAAUUUUGAUAUUUUAGUUGUGUUAGGCAACAGUUUUUUUGAGUAGCUUUUAACAUUUCGACUGGUUAUAACACUAAAUACUAUUUUGUAUAAUCUGAUUUCUGUAAUGACAUUAGCGCCAUUAAUAAACUAAUUGUUUCUUUUGUUACCUAUGGAUUUUAAUAUUGGAACUUUAUAGUAUGUUGCUACUUUACGAGAACAAUUGGAACAACUGGCUGAAGAGAGAACUCUAGAUGGCUUACCUAGGUAUGCGUGCUUUCUUUUAUAUCUUCUCUUAAAUUUGUUUUGAAUUGUAAUUGAACUUUGAAAAACUUUAAUCAAAUUUUCAUGGAUAACCAAUAUUGGAACUUUUUGUAAAUGUCCUUUUCAAGGAAAAUUGACUUGUUAAUAAUACAUCUAAGUUCUUUGAUUGUGAGCCAGAUUUCUCUUCCCCUUUGCAUUUGAGUUGGCCUUUUCUGUUCGGUAGCCAUUAUCAAUCCAAUAAAUCAAAUGUGGCUGGAGUUGUAUUUUAUGUAACAAUCUCUAAGAUUUAAAUGCAGUGCUACUUUUAACUUCUCUUUGAAUACAUUUCAACAGAGUUUCAAAGGCUAAGGUCAAUGAUUAUUCAGAAAAGAUUGAAGCCAUUGCUUCCAGAUUAGCUGCCCCAUUGGUGCGUUGCAUUGGAUACUUUUAAAUUAUUAAUGUGAUUGUGAACUUUAGCAACACUUCUAAAAUUAGUUGCACUAGCAGAUAUUUGAACAUAGUUCGAAGAGUAAGUUUUCUUCUUUUCAUUUCCUCCCUCAAGGGACUAAAAACUGUUGAAAUGCCAUUGCCAUUAUAAUGUGGUAGAGCUUCAAUAACUGUGAUGUAAACAGACUGAAGAUACGGGGUUAUGUUUCUGUAGAAGAAAACAUAAGAGCAAAUCUUGACCGAUUUCACUUUUGUUGAAAAGACUGUACAUAGGAUUUUGAUAUUACUGUCCACAAAUUAAUUCUUUUUUUUUUUAAUUAUCUCUUGAAUGAACUGUUCUUCUUCCCUCUCAGCUAAUAUGUUGACUUCAUGGAUUGCAAUACAUUCUCCUUGGUUUAAUUGCUUUUGUUGCCUGUUCUACUUCUUCUAACUGUUCCCCCCUUUGGUUACAGUGACUAAGCGUACUGAUUACAACUUAAAAGCAUACUAUAUGUUGUUUGUGUCAUCUAACCAUGCAUGCAAUCUAUGAUGUUGCCUCAAUUUGUUUGUCCUAUUAAUUGUCAGUAUUGGCAGUGGUUGAUGUUGUAACAUCUAACCAUUUUUUAUGCGGCUAAUUCUCAGCCUCAGAUUCGGUAUCUGAAGAGCCUUUUGCUGAGAGUUCAAUGAGCGAAAGUCCUAAAGCAGAUGGAGAAACUCAGUUCCCUUCUUCUCCUGGCUUGAGAAGAAGACUUGUGUAAUGAAUCUCUAGUUGUUAGGAUUUAUGUGAUUCAUGCAAUUUCCCUUUUGGUGUUCAUUUCUUUUUCCUCCUUCUGUUUCUAUAUUUAUUUCAUUAUGAUUUUUGUUGUUCUUUGAACAGGGCAGCCCCAAAUUUUGAUGAUAGAACUCAUGAAAUCACUCAGGUUGAUACAUCAGCCCCUGUCAAACUGGAUGCUGCAGCAAAAACACACAUUGAAAAGCACAGGUACUUUUACUGUUUGAUUGGGGUACACCCAAUCAUGAUGUGAUAAUUUCAAAGAUUACAUAGUAAUCCACUCUUAGAUCUGUAAUCUAAGUUUUUCAAGUAAAAAUGUUGCAUUUAAUUCUACAUAAAACCCAGUGGAGUUCCACAUAAACUCAUACAGCCAUUGUUUGCUAAAGAUGCAUUGACUACAGACCAAGGAUGGUCCUCUUGAGGGCAUUGGGUGAUUAUUCAUGAUUCUAUUUGUAGAGGUGUGCAUCAGUGGAUUCGGUUUGACCGAAUUAACCAGUAAUCAAAAUAGGGGAAACUAAACCAAAUUGAAUUACAUAUAUGAAUCAAACAUUUUGGUUCAGUUUGGUUGGCUCCAUACUGAAUCCUUUUGUUCUUGUGUGUGUGUGUGUGUGUGUGUGUGUUGUUUGGUUUUUUUGGUUAAAAUGAUCAUCUGAAGACCGAAACAUGGUUAACAUGUUCAUCUGAUGACUGAAACAUGGUUAACAUGGUUGGCUCCAUACCAUGGUCAUCUGAUGACCGAACCAAAUAAGAGGCCCAAAUCUUUGCUAAUCGAAUCAAACCACAUAUUUCGGUUUGGUUAGUUGGUUAUUACCAACUAAUGCACACCCUUACUCCCCUAGCUAUUUUGGCAUUUCAAUGGGAUAAUGUGUACACCAUAAGCAAGAUAGUAGUGGAAUUUUGGUGUAACAUGGUGCCCUGCUUGGCAUCAGCCUAGUAUUGUUCAGAGAGCGGGACAGAACAAGUAUUUGAGCAAGAGGGGAACUGGGAUUGGAGUGGAAGGUAAGUCAGACACCAAAUUGAUCUUUAAUAUUUAUUAUGUUUCUUUCCCUACCGAGACGAAAGCCAAAGGUGAGUCUCGUAGGUGGACGUAUUGAACCGAAAAAAGAUCUCACUCCCCUGUCUCAACUCGCUUUCCAGGGAUAAGGUGAAAAUGAAAGGUUCAUUGCAAAUUGGAGUUUAUUGCAACAGGAUUUACAUAAAUAACAAUGCUUCAAUACAUUUAAAGUUUCUUAGUCCUCCUUCUUGACUGUUGCUUAUAGUACUAUAUUUAUAACGGUACAAUGUAGUUUCCUGAAAGUAAUAUGAUUAAUGAGUAAAAUUUUCAUGAUAUAGGCAGAGAUAUUCAAAAACAUAAUUUGUUCUGCAUAUUUUCUUGCUCCAAGUUCCAAAGAUUGAAUCUAGGACUACCUAGUUGCUUCAAAGAUCAUCAACUUCUGAUUAAACUUUUGUAUCCUAUUGCAGAAAGCUUCAAGAAGACCUGACAGAUGAAAUGGUUGGGUUGGCACAACAACUAAAAGAGAGUAGUCUCUUGAUGAGCCAGUCCUUGCAAAAUACUGAAAAGGUAAUGAUUUUUGGAACCAAAUGUAUUACCUUCUGAGGAGAUGUGCAAUUGUAGCUUUGGUGAGUGAUUCUGCAUGUUCUGGGGAGGCAGCAUUAGAGGAUCGCGUAAUCCAUUAUUCUUUGUGUACAAGUUAGCUAAUGAGUAUCUCUAACAUGGUAAUGAUUUAGAAACUACUAGGAUUGUGAAGAAGUGUCAUUUUCCUUCUGCCAUUAAUUGAUUGAUGUGAAGCGUCUGAGUUCUAUCUUAAAAUUGCUCAGAUUUGUAAAUGCUGUGAAGGAGAGGUUGGGAGUGGCAAUCAGAGAGAUAUCUAUAGCAGCAUUUUUCUGAAUUUAAUCUGUGGGAAUUGAUGUUCUAUUGAGGUCUUGUAUUUUGACAUACUAAUCACUCUAUUAAGCGAUGAAAGUUGCUAGGAUAUGAAAUUCUUCUUGAUUAAUGAUGAAUUGAAGAACAACUACUGAACCAUUUCUGUACUCAUGCAGUAAUCGAUAAGCUGCUAAUUGUGUUAAUUGACUUGGAAUGGGCCCUUAAGGAAUUAACAAGUACAGAUCUAUAAAAUUGUAAAAGCCAUAAGAGGACAGGCUUUUAUAAGAAAAAUCUACCCUGUAAUUUUUUUUUCCCUACCAAUGAUUGGAUGGUGGACUCACCGACAAAUGAGGUAAGGGAAAUUGAGAAGCAACUUUCUACUUCAACCUUUUUUCUUCUUGAUAUGGUAAACAACUUGCCUUGAGCUCAUAAUUUGUUUGUAUUUUUCAAUUUUCUUUGAAAUAAUGGCAGUAGCAACUAAAACUUCUAGUUGAUGAGUGUAUGCAUCAUGAAUUUCUACAUUACCACUUAUCAUGUGGAAAUUCAGAUUUCUGUUCAUUUACGUAUUAUAGAUACUUGAAUUUAAUACUUAUCAAAAUGUGAUUGCAAAGAUCAUGUAUAUCGAUCUGGGACUAUUUUUUAAACUGAUGCUCUUCUUGUACAUGUCAGAAAGUUUUUGCAUUCAAUGGCUGUAAAAAAAGAAAUACAUAAAUUUAUUAGAUGAAGCUAAAACAACAUAUAUGCAAGUUUUUAUUUCUAGUCUCAAAACCUAAAUGUUUGUUUUGGUGCAGAUACUCGAUUCUACAGAGAACGCUAUUGAGCAAAGCUUGGCAGGCACUGGCCGUGCCAAUGUCCGAGCCUUGGAGAUAUACUCGAAAAGUUCUAAAACUACAUGCUUCACUUGGCUUCUGAUUUUUCUAAUGACAUGUGUCUUCAUCAUGGUUGUACUCCUAAUUCGCGUCACUUAGAAGUUUCUUCAAGGUAAGCAAGUUUCGACAUGGUAAUGCUGCUGUCUUGCAAUGCGAGUCAAGUGUUUAACCAUUUGUUCAAAAUCAACUGGUUUUUUAUGAAAGUGGUGCCUAAUGAUUUAAUUUUUCUACCAGAAAUCAUUUUGUGACGAUACGGAGAUUAAUGACAAAUAAUAUGUAAUAUUUUCUUAUUCUGUGUUGUUUGAGGUUAUGUUGGGAUUUAUAUUUUAAUCGACGGACAACUGAUUCUGAAAUAAGUUUAACACUCAUAUUAUGAUUGUAUUUUUUUUUCUUUUUUCUUUUUUAAUAUAAUGUCUUUUAUUUUAUUUUGAAUUAAAAUAAAUAACUAGAAAACAUUACUAAACAAAAAUUAAUUAAUUAUUUUUAUUUAUAUACCAUAUUAAAAAAAAUGAUAGAUUCAUCUGAGAAAAUAAAAAGAAUAAUUUAGCUACCAACAACAAGAAUUUACUCUAGGGUGCUUGUUUUUUAAGAGAGGACCCAUAAGGAUAUUAAAGUGUAAAUAAUUAAAAUAUCAAUAAAAGUGGCAAAGUAUUUACUCUAGGGUCCUUGUUUUUUAAGGUAAUCAGUGGUAUUAUUAUUCUUGAAAAAAAAUAAAAAAAUAAAAACCUGGUAUUAUUAAAUGUAUAUUAUUGAAAAGAAAAAUAAAAACUUUUAUCAAUAAUGAGAAAAUUAUCUACCAAUGUAUGAGGAGUGGCACUCACCAACCCCAAUUCCUACCUACUCAUCCAUAGAAUUGGUAUUAUUGUUACUCUUAUCAUGCCCAAUCAUCCAUGCAAAAUUAUUACUUUUACACAUGCAUAAAUGCAAGAUUUUAUAAUUUAAAAAAAUGUUGAUCACUCAAUAUUUUUUUAUUAAUCAAAAGGCUCAAUUGAUCGAAUAACAUAAUGAUUAAGGGAUAAUUUUUCCAUUGACUUAUCGAAUUAUUAAAAACUAGUGCGAUCGGAAAAAUUCAAACUUAACAAUCAUAUUUUUUAUAUUAGUAAAAAGAUCAACCAAAUAAUAUAUGGUUAGCCUAAAGAGGUUUUUUUUUUUUUUUUUUUUUUUGCCCCUUUUAAAGAUAUUGGGCAGAAAAUAAUAAUCAGCGGAGAUUAUAGCAUUAUUUCAUGUAAUUAAUUAAUAUAGUAUAUAAAUAAAUAAAUAAAUAUUAAUUAAAUGUUUAUAAUAAUAUUUACUAGUUAUUUAUUGUUUUUAGAUAAUUAUAUAUGAUAAUGAUAACAUAAAAAUAGUAAUUGGAAAAUAAAAUUAUUAAUGAUUUAUUAUUGAGGUGAAUAUAGCCCUGGGGAAUUGAUUAAAAAAAAAAAGGAGUUGAAAAAGUAGUUAAUGAAGAUUUAACACAUAUAAAUUAAACGUAGAAUAAAUUUGCAUGAAACAAAUAAGCUAAAUAUCCCUCUAAUAAGGAAUUGAUAGCUGAUAAAGCUUACAUAAGUUUCAAUUUACUAUUGAUCUCAUCAACUGAAUUUAGGGCUUUUUCUUAUCAAUGUAUUAUAUUUUGACUAUAUUAAUUUUAUAAAAAAAUAUAUUAAUAAAUUAUUUUUUGAAAUUAAUAUUUUAGGAUAAUCUUAUUUAUAAAAAUUUUAAAUUAAAAUAAAUAAGUAGAAAAUAUUACUACACAAAAAUUAAAUAAUUAUUUUUAUUUAUAAACUAUCAUAAACAACUAUCAUAAACAAUUAAAUAAUUAAAUAAUGAUUACUAUUAUCAACUAUCAUAAACAACUAAAUCAACCAUUUUAUUUUUCAAAUAAUCGAUUUUUAAAUAAAAACAUGAAUAUGUAUAGUUGUGAGAUCUAUUUAGAUUCAAAUGAGUUUAAAAUUUAAAAAAAAAAAUUCAAAUGAUGAAUUAGCCUAAAUUAAAAUUUUUUUAAUGCAUUUAGAGCAAUAAAAAAUUAUAGAGUAUAUAUAUAUAUAUAUAUAUAUAUAUAUAUAUAUACAUGCGCACGCGCAUAAUUUUGAAAAGAGGCAUGACCAAAUCCAUCUAGGUGGCCUUAAUAUUUUUUUUCUAUUCAAUUAUAAGAAUAUCUCUCAAUUUUUAUAUUUAUCCUACACAUAUCUUAUCCUACACGAAAAAAAAAACGAGGAUAAUGUAAGAUAUGAAUUAUAAGAAUGUCACUCAACUUUUAUAUUGACCCAACACAUAUCUUGGUUCAUGUGGAGGGAAAAAAAAGAUAAUAUAAGAUAAGUAAAGAAUUAUUAGAAUCUAAUAGGGUCUUUUCUGAUAUUAAAAUAAAUAAAAAAACUUUGUGGGACGCUCCUAUAUUAAAGUGAAUUAUUAUUGGAAAUUCAAGAGAAAUUUAAUUAUUUGCACUGAUGGCUUUGAUUUUUUUUUUUUUCUUAACAAAAUUAACAAUUCUAUUCCAUGUAAUUCAACAAUACAUAUGAAAAAUACUUGUAAUGUUAAUAAUUGUACAUUAAAAUCAGUUGCACAUUGUUAAGCUUUAACUCAUAUUAUAAUUAUUGAAAUUAUUGAGAGAGAGAAAAUAGGAAAAAAAAGAUUGAUUAAUUUAUAUUAUAAAAUAAAAAUACUAUGAACUUUGCAUAUGGUUGGAAUUGCAUUUUAUUUUAAAUUUUAACUAUAAGGUGCAAUUAAUUAUUUUAGAGUAUAAUAACAUUUUGAAUUUUACGUAUUGUUGCAAUUACACCUUAUUUUUUCCCUAAAUUUUAAUUACAAAGCGUCAGUAAUUUCAAAAUGCUGUUACAUGAUAAUUGUUAAAAGGGUUAAAUAUUUUCGGUUCCCUAAAUUAUGGCCAAAAUAACACCUAGGAUCCUCAACGUUUGAGUAAUUAUCUUGAAUGACCUAAAUAAUGUUGUCGUUAUACUACGAGGCCCUGCCAUCCAAAUUCUUACCUUUUUCCAUUUACAUGGAUUGAAAAGCAAACAUUAAGUGGGGAGUUAAAUGUUUUGGGGUCCCUAAAUUAUGACCAAAUCAACACUUAAGUCCCUCUACGUUCGAGUAAUUAUUCGUUUUUCAGUUCAUAUAAACGCAAAAAAAGUAGAAAUUUAGAUGGAAAUUCCAUUCGACGUGCCUAUCUAAGAUUUUUCCUCUUUGUGCUUUUUCUCAUAUUUGCGGAUGCGCUUUACACCCUUUGUAGCUAAGAAUUUUUCGUAUUUUGUAAUAAACAAGAAAUAACAAAAAAAAAAAAAAAAAAUGAGUUGAGAAAUUUUCUUUUUACAAAAAUGCCCUUAUAUUGCUAAAGGUUUCUUUGACAUUGUGUGGCUAUAUAUAGCAGGCACUUCACCAUUAAAAAACCAAACAUUUCUUCUCCCCUUUACAACUAAAGAGAACCAUGAAGAGCUUCUCUAUUUUCUUUGUUCUUCUCCCUCUUCUCUUGGUGAGUGAACCAUUUCUUCAUACAUUAUUCUACUUAGCACCAACCCUAAAAUUCGAUUGAAAUUAAUGGCAAAGCUAUAUGUUGCAGUCUUUUUUUUUUUUUUUUUUUUUUAUUAAAGAAAUUAAUGCAGAUAUUAUUUUUUAUUAAUUAAAUGGCUAGCUUUGUUCCUAAUAUUAUUUAUACUUUCAGCGGAACUACAUAUAAUUUUUAGUGUGACAUUUUUUUCUCUCUAAUUUUUUCGUCUUAUUUCAAGAACAUGCUUUUUUUGAUUCUUUUAGUAGUUUGGCAAUAUAUAUGGACUCAAGCUCUAAUCUUUGUUCUUUUUUUCUUUAAUAGUUUGGUAUUACUGUGGACGCGAGGAAAGAACUACUAAAAGAUCAACAUCUCAACGAUGAUAAAACUUCUAUCGAGGAAAAUGGGCCAAAAUCUAUUUUAAACCAUCUCAACGAUGAGAAGUUCGAUCCCAAACGUCCCGAGUUGUUUGGUUAUCAUUACGACGACGAUGAUAAAAAAGACAAGGCAUCAUCAUUUGAGAAGUUCGAUUCCAAACGUCCUGAGUUUUUUGGUUAUCAUUACGACGACAAUGAUAAAAAAGACAAGUCAACGUCAUUUGAGAAGUUCGAUCCUAAACGUCCUGAGUUCCUUCACUAUGGUUACAACGAUGAUGAUAACACUGACAAAUUAUCAUCUGUUCAAAAUUUUGAGCGUUGGGUUCCUCUUCCAUCAUUUCAUUAUACUUACAGCGACGAUGAUAACACAGAGAAAUCAUCGUCAUUUGAGAAAUUUGAUCCCAAACAUAAGAACUUGCUUCACUAUCACUACAACGACAACAAAGAAAAAUCAUCACCGCUCGAGCAUAAUAAGCCGUCGUCUCUCUCUGAUGAGAUCUCAGGUGGCAACAAUGAUCAUAAGGAGACCAUGUAAAUUAGGCCUCCAGAGGAGCAUAUGGGUUUUAAUGAAAUUGUAUAAUGUUCUAUGUAUUUAAACGUUAUGUCCUCUAUGUAUGGGAGUGCUUACUUAUUAAAGAAAAAUAAAAAUGGCGUCGCCAUAUAUGAUAAUUGAAUAAAAGUAACACUUCAUUUCCUUCCUCUUUUCUCAAGCAAUUUAGUUUUCUUUAUCUAUUGUCUUUGUUCGUAGCUAAACACACAAGGUUGCCAAUUUAGUCGGAUUAUGAUAAAAUAUAUGUAUUAUUAUUUGAUGAGAAAUUUUUACUUAAUAUUUAAUAUUUAAUUUUAUA
This 14299-nucleotide long non-coding RNA is filed under the name Jatropha curcas. Its description in RNAcentral is "long non-coding RNA (JCUR_LNC000133)". Lineage: Eukaryota; Viridiplantae; Streptophyta; Magnoliopsida; Malpighiales; Euphorbiaceae. The record is from RNAcentral.